Molecule: ribosomal RNA, 369 nt
Filed under: Escherichia coli
Lineage: Bacteria; Pseudomonadati; Pseudomonadota; Gammaproteobacteria; Enterobacterales; Enterobacteriaceae
Description: partial 23S ribosomal RNA
Rfam family: Bacterial large subunit ribosomal RNA
Source: RNAcentral
CGGCGAGGGGAGUGAAAAAGAACCUGAAACCGUGUACGUACAAGCAGUGGGAGCACAGAGCAAUCUGUGUGACUGCGUACCUUUUGUAUAAUGGGUCAGCGACUUAUAUUCUGUAGCAAGGUUAACCGAAUAGGGGAGCCGAAGGGAAACCGAGUCUUAACUGGGCGUUAAGUUGCAGGGUAUAGACCCGAAACCCGGUGAUCUAGCCAUGGGCAGGUUGAAGGUUGGGUAACACUAACUGGAGGACCGAACCGACUAAUGUUGAAAAAUUAGCGGAUGACUUGUGGCUGGGGGUGAAAGGCCAAUCAAACCGGGAGAUAGCUGGUUCUCCCCGAAAGCUAUUUAGGUAGCGCCUCGUGAAUUCAUCUC